GUCAAGUCAUUUAACUAAAAAAUUUAAAAAUUAUUUUUUUAUAAAAUUGUGAAUUAACAAUGGCUGUACCUAAAACUUCUGUAAUAUCUGUUUUGAUCUGCUUAAGCUUGUUCAUCGUCGGCUUUAAUAUAUUCGAGGGUGAUUCCCAGUCGGAUUUAGCGGGCGUCUUGUUCUUGGCAUGGAUAGUAUUGAUGCUGGAUAAGUUCCGCAUCUAUUUGCGCGUUUUCAAUCGACGGUGGAUCUUUCCGAUCGCAGUGGCGGUCUACUAUCUAUUCAGCCAAGUCGUAGUGUUUUUUAUGUGGGAUCCGAUAUGGUUUAGAAUCGAAAAUAUAAUGCACUGGAUCUUUUCAACACGAUUUGUAUACACCAUCUAUUACAAGUUUCCAACUAUUGUUGUGUUUAUGAGGCGACAAUCGCUGGCUUUUUUCAAGCUGGUCAUGAUGCUUCUAGUUUUCUACAAGACCCUGAAGAGUUAUCAAGUCCCCGAAGAAAAAAAAAGAUAUAGACGUGGAAUUCAUAAAGAAGCGUUAAGGGGUUUGCUGUCUAAGUCUGGAAAUCGAACUCCUCGAGUGUCUAACAGGCGGAAGAAGAAGCAGUAAAGACGUAAUGCCAAUAUUAGUUCAGGUUUGGAUUGCAGUACAAGCUCGUUCAUUAUAUAUAUUCAGCAGUUGCACAUUUGUGAUUGUUAUUUGGAAAUUCAUUUAAUGCUCGUUUUUACCAUAUUGUUAUUAAGAUACUUCGGUUGAUGAAACAAACAGAUCAAAUCACAUAUUUGUAUACGAUUUAUUUUAUACUUCUAUAUAUAAGUUUCGGUUUUUAUGCAAGCUCGUUAAUGGCUAAUGGUCCGUGUCGCACGCUUUUUAUAUAAUUGGGUUCCAUUUAGGUACACUCUACAGACGAUUAAUGGAACAGACUAUUAUACGAUUACAUAUUGUGUUCUGUUUAACUAGUUGAUUCUCCAAUAUAUAACAUGGUAACUCCAAUACAUAGGUUUCGGCUUUCGUUUUAU
This 1009-nucleotide small RNA is filed under the name Drosophila virilis. RNAcentral describes it as "GJ26247". The record is from RNAcentral. Lineage: Eukaryota; Metazoa; Arthropoda; Insecta; Diptera; Drosophilidae.